AUUGAACGCUGGCGGCAGGCCUAACACAUGCAAGUCGAGCGGAUGAAGAGAGCUUGCUCUCUGAUUCAGCAGCGGACGGGUGAGUAAUGCCUAGGAAUCUGCCUGGUAGUGGGGGACAACGUUUCGAAAGGAACGCUAAUACCGCAUACGUCCUACGGGAGAAAGCAGGGGACCUUCGGGCCUUGCGCUAUCAGAUGAGCCUAGGUCGGAUUAGCUAGUUGGUGAGGUAAUGGCUCACCAAGGCGACGAUCCGUAACUGGUCUGAGAGGAUGAUCAGUCACACUGGAACUGAGACACGGUCCAGACUCCUACGGGAGGCAGCAGUGGGGAAUAUUGGACAAUGGGCGAAAGCCUGAUCCAGCCAUGCCGCGUGUGUGAAGAAGGUCUUCGGAUUGUAAAGCACUUUAAGUUGGGAGGAAGGGCAGUAACUUAAUACGUUGCUGUUUUGACGUUACCGACAGAAUAAGCACCGGCUAACUCUGUG
RNAcentral lists this ribosomal RNA (484 nucleotides) under uncultured bacterium. RNAcentral describes it as "bacterial SSU rRNA". It matches the Rfam family "Bacterial small subunit ribosomal RNA", at positions 30 to 507 of the family's 1533-position model. The record is from RNAcentral.